GUGAACUACAGGUCAUCACAGCAUGAACACGGAUUACAAAAUGUUUGGACUUCAUCAUCAGCGUUUAGUUCUCGGUUCGCCACAGCUAACCAAGAUGUCACUGCGGGUCAAAAGGUCAAGGUCGGGAGGUCAGAGCGGGGCAGCUGGUAGCCCGGUGCUCUGGCUGUCCUCUGGAAGGACCGGGAGCACAUCUGUCUAAACAGUUGAGUCUCGCUGGUUUCACAUUUUGCACAAAGCAUAAAUCAGGGAGCUGCAGAAGCAUUAAUCUCCAUGGGAAAAGGAAGAUUCCAGCGCUGAGGAGGAUUCAACUGAAAAACAGGACACAACGGGUUGCAAUGGAUUGUGGGAGGUAGUAUUUAUGUGGACAGGGUGUUUGUGCCCUUUUUCUUUUAUGUAAAGCACAAGGAGUCAAGUGAAGUUUCUGAAUAAACGUCACUUGACUCCUUGUUUGCACUCUGACUCCCGUCAUUGAUCUUCCAGCGCUGAAGAAGCAGGGGACACAAUGCCAGAUCAGCCUCAGAGGCAUCGUCCACAAUGCUCUGUUAGCACGGCGAUAGCAUUGUGGAGAGCAGCGAAGAUCAUCGAUCAAGUCAAAUAUUUAUUUAGCUUCUCAGUAAGUGAGCGAGCGAGGUUUGAGUCACCUUUUGAGAGUUUUUUUUUUUUCAGUCUAUUCUAAUAGAAAGCGUUUAUCUGCUCUUUAUGUUAUAUAUUUCCAAACGAACGUGUAGGAUUUACAAGAUGAAUGAUGUGGGUGCAGGUAAAAACAAGUCCAGUUCUUUUUUCCAUGAAAUUUAAGGAAUUGAGGAAAUUCCAAAUUAUAUUUUGGGUGUGAAACCUCCCUGUCAUACACUCGUCAAAGUUUGAGUUUCUGAAUAAACUCCAGUGACACGGCUCUGACCUCCAGCCCAGCUGCAACUUAUCAGCACUAAACCAGUCUGUAAUUUCAGAAGCACGAAAAAGAAACUUACAAGAUCUGACAGUAGAUUAAAACACUGAAGACAUUUCAAAGCGAUCAGAGAUAUAAAAAAAAAAGAUAAACUGCACAGUUUCACUUCUGCAACAAAAAAACAACAAAACAGAGAUUCAUAUUCAUAUAACUGUUUCACUCUUCACUUUCACUUUGGCACCUUUUGUGGGGACAAAAUGGACCCAUUUUUGUUUCAGUUGCCCUCUUUAAGAUUUUAUUUAAUUCUUGUUUGAUCAUAUAUUUCCUUGAAGAUUUCACAUCUCAGUUUUUAUAUGGGAGUUAAGUAAAAGGUCCGUGUGAACUGUUCUCCAAACACAUCUUAAGUGUUUAUAGCUGUUCUGAAUGGGGGGAAAAAGUGAUCAAGUGUG
Thunnus maccoyii (southern bluefin tuna) is the source of this 1335-nucleotide long non-coding RNA. RefSeq lists it as uncharacterized. The transcript has 4 exons. NCBI's taxonomy places the organism in Eukaryota, Metazoa, Chordata, Actinopteri, Scombriformes, Scombridae. The record is from RefSeq and is a predicted model, not a curated record.